UACGGAGGGGGCUAGCGUUGUUCGGAAUUACUGGGCGUAAAGCGCACGUAGGCGGCUUGGAAAGUUGGAGGUGAAAGCCCGGAGCUCAACUCCGGAAUUGCCUUCAAAACUCCCGAGCUAGAGUUCAGAAGAGGAGAGUGGAAUUCCCAGUGUAGAGGUGAAAUUCGUAGAUAUUGGGAAGAACACCAGAGGCGAAGGCGGCUCUCUGGUCUGAAACUGACGCUGAGGUGCGAAAGCGUGGGGAGCAAACAGGAUUAGAAACCCUUGUAGU
This 271-nucleotide ribosomal RNA is filed under the name uncultured bacterium. Its description in RNAcentral is "partial 16S ribosomal RNA". It matches the Rfam family "Bacterial small subunit ribosomal RNA", at positions 524 to 794 of the family's 1533-position model. The record is from RNAcentral.